AUUGAACGCUGGCGGCAGGCCUAACACAUGCAAGUCGAGCGGAUGAAGGGAGCUUGCUCCUGUAUUCAGCGGCGGACGGGUGAGUAAUGCCUAGGAAUCUGCCUGGUAGUGGGGGAUAACGUCCGGAAACGGGCGCUAAUACCGCAUACGUUCUGAGGGAGAAAGUGGGGGAUCUUCGGACCUCACGCUAUCAGAUGAGCCUAGGUCGGAUUAGCUAGUUGGUGGGGUAAAGGCUUACCAAGGCGACGAUCCGUAACUGGUCUGAGAGGAUGAUCAGUCACACUGGAACUGAGACACGGUCCAGACUCCUACGGGAGGCAGCAGUGGGGAAUAUUGGACAAAGGGCGAAAGCCUGAUCCAGCCAUGCCGCGUGUGUGAAGAAGGUCUUCGGAUUGUAAAGCACUUUAAGUUGGGAGGAAGGGCAGUAAGUUAAUACCUUGCUGUUUUGACGUUACCAACAGAAUAAGCACCGGCUAACUUCGUG
Molecule: ribosomal RNA, 484 nt
Filed under: uncultured bacterium
Lineage: Bacteria
Description: partial 16S ribosomal RNA
Rfam family: Bacterial small subunit ribosomal RNA
Source: RNAcentral